AGUGAACGCUGGCGGUAGGCCUAACACAUGCAAGUCGAACGGCAGCACAGUAAGAGCUUGCUCUUACGGGUGGCGAGUGGCGGACGGGUGAGGCAUACAUCGGAAUCUACUUUUUCGUGGGGGAUAACGUAGGGAAACUUACGCUAAUACCGCAUACGUCCUACGGGUGAAAGCAGGGGAUCUUCGGACCUUGCGCGAUUGAACGAGCCGAUGUCGGAUUAGCUAGUUGGCGGGGUAAAGGCCCACCAAGGCGACGAUCCGUAGCUGGUCUGAGAGGAUGAUCAGCCACACUGGAACUGAGACACGGUCCAGACUCCUACGGGAGGCAGCAGUGGGGAAUAUUGGACAAUGGGCGCAAGCCUGAUCCAGCCAUACCGCGUGGGUGAAGAAGGCCUUCGGGUUGUAAAGCCCUUUUGUUGGGAAAGAAAAGCAGCAGGUUAAUACCCCGCUGUUCUGACGGUACCCAAAGAAUAAGCACCGGCUAACUUCGUG
Molecule: ribosomal RNA, 492 nt
Filed under: uncultured bacterium
Lineage: Bacteria
Description: partial 16S ribosomal RNA
Rfam family: Bacterial small subunit ribosomal RNA
Source: RNAcentral